CCGUAACUAUAACGGUCCUAAGGUAGCGAAAUUCCUUGUCGGGCAAGUUCCGACCUGCACGAAUGGCAUAAUGAUGGCCACACUGUCUCCUCCUGAGACUCAGUGAAGUUGAAAUGUUUGUGAUGAUGCAAUCUCCCCGCGGCUAGACGGAAAGACCCCAUGAACCUUUACUGCAGCUUUGCAUUGGACUUUGAACCGAUCUGUGUAGGAUAGGUGGGAGGCAGUGAAGCUAGGACGCCAGUCUUAGCGGAGCCAACCUUGAAAUACCACCCUGAUUUGUUUGAGGUUCUAACCUAGGAGCGUGAUCCGCUUCGGGGACCGUGCAUGGCAGGCAGUUUGACUGGGGCGGUCUCCUCCUAAAGGGUAACGGAGGAGUGCGAAGGUACGCUAGGUACGGUCGGAAAUCGUGCUGAUAGUGCAAUGGCAAAAGCGUGCUUGACUGCGAGACCGACAAGUCGAGCAGAUACGAAAGUAGGUCAUAGUGAUCCGGUGGCUCUGCAUGGAAGGGCCAUCGCUCAACGGAUAAAAGGUACUCUGGGGAUAACAGGCUGAUACCGCCCAAGAGUUCAUAUCGACGGCGGUGUUUGGCACCUCGAUGUCGGCUCAUCUCAUCCUGGGGCUGUAGCCGGUCCCAAGGGUAUGGCUGUUCGCCAUUUAAAGAGGUACGUGAGCUGGGUUUAAAACGUCGUGAGACAGUUUUGUCCCUAUCUGCCGUGGGCGUUGGAAGAUUGACGGGGGCUGCUCCUAGUACGAGAGGACCGGAGUGGACUCACCUCUGGUGUACCGGUUGUCACGCCAGUGGCAUCGCCGGGUAGCUAUGUGGGGAAAGGAUAACCGCUGAAAGCAUCUAAGCGGGAAACCUGCCUGAAGAUAAGUCUUCCUGGAGGCUAGACCUCCCUGAAGAGUCGUUCGAGACCAGGACGUUGAUAGGUUGGAUGUGCAAGCGCUGUGAGGCGUUGAGCUGACCAAUACUAAUUGCUCGUGAAGCUUGAUCCU
Molecule: ribosomal RNA, 996 nt
Filed under: human gut metagenome
Description: bacterial LSU rRNA
Rfam family: Bacterial large subunit ribosomal RNA
Source: RNAcentral